This 460-nucleotide ribosomal RNA is filed under the name uncultured bacterium. RNAcentral's name for it is "partial 16S ribosomal RNA". It matches the Rfam family "Bacterial small subunit ribosomal RNA", at positions 338 to 795 of the family's 1533-position model. The record is from RNAcentral.
CCUACGGGAGGCAGCAGUGAGGAAUAUUGGUCAAUGGACGAGAGUCUGAACCAGCCAAGUAGCGUGAAGGAUGACUGCCCUAUGGGUUGUAAACUUCUUUUAUAUGGGAAUAAAACGUUCCACGUGUGGGAUUUUGUAUGUACCAUAUGAAUAAGGAUCGGCUCACUCCGUGCCAGCAGCCGCGGUAAUACGGAGGAUCCGAGCGUUAUCCGGAUUUAUUGGGUUUAAAGGGAGCGUAGGUGGAUUGUUAAGUCAGUUGUGAAAGUUUGCGGCUCAACCGUAAAAUUGCAGUUGAAACUGGGAGUCUUGAGUACAGUAGAGGUGGGUGGAAUUCGUGGUGUAGCGGUGAAAUGCUUAGAUAUCACGAAGAACUCCGAUUGCGAAGGCAGCUCACUGGACUGCAACUGACACUGAGGCUCGAAAGUGUGGGUAUCAAACAGGAUUAGAUACCCUAGUAGUC